UGAGGUGACGAGGUGAGGAUGACCCAAG
This 28-nucleotide non-coding RNA is filed under the name Homo sapiens (human). The record is from RNAcentral. Lineage: Eukaryota; Metazoa; Chordata; Mammalia; Primates; Hominidae.